GAUGAACGCUGACAGAAUGCUUAACACAUGCAAGUCUUUGGCGAAGCUGUGCUUGCACAGCCUAGCCAAGGCGGACGGGUGAGUAACGCGUAAGGAACUUGCCCUGCAGUCAGGGAUAACAGACGGAAACGACUGAUAAGACCUGGUAAAGUCAGGCGGACUCAUGUCCAGCCUGAUGAAAAGAGAUGCUGCAGGAGAGCCUUGCGCCCUAUUAGCUUGUUGGUGGGGUAACGGCCCACCAAGGCGAUGAUAGGUAGCCGGCCUGAGAGGGUGGACGGCCACAAGGGGACUGAGAGACGGCCCUUACUCCUACGGGAGGCAGCAGUGGGGAAUAUUGGACAAUGGCGGCAACCCUGAUCCAGCAAUUCUGUGUGCACGAUGAAGGUUUUCGGAUUGUAAAGUGCUUUCAGCAGGGAAGAAAAAAAUGACGGUACCUGCAGAAGAAGCGACGGCUAAAUACGUG
Molecule: ribosomal RNA, 463 nt
Filed under: uncultured bacterium
Lineage: Bacteria
Description: partial 16S ribosomal RNA
Rfam family: Bacterial small subunit ribosomal RNA
Source: RNAcentral